Molecule: ribosomal RNA, 253 nt
Filed under: uncultured bacterium
Lineage: Bacteria
Description: partial 16S ribosomal RNA
Rfam family: Bacterial small subunit ribosomal RNA
Source: RNAcentral
UACGUAGGGUGCAAGCGUUGUCCGGAAUUAUUGGGCGUAAAGGGCUCGUAGGCGGUCUGUCGCGUCGGGAGUGAAAACUCAGGGCUUAACCCUGAGCCUGCUUCCGAUACGGGCAGACUAGAGGUAUGCAGGGGAGAACGGAAUUCCUGGUGUAGCGGUGAAAUGCGCAGAUAUCAGGAGGAACACCGGUGGCGAAGGCGGUUCUCUGGGCAGUACCUGACGCUGAGGAGCGAAAGUGUGGGGAGCGAACAGG